GGGAAAUGCUAUCCGUCUUACUAAAAGCUUUACCAUUUAGUCAAUUAUAUUUCGACUUAUUACAUGUAAUAUAUCGCCUUGUUUUCAUAUUGGAAACUAACAUCAUUUUUAGAUCUGAAUUCAAAAGGAUUUGCCAGUUUAUCCUAGUGCUUCAUUCAAAUUUCAUUGAGUGGCAUUUGGAAUGCAAUUGCAACACUCCUCAAGCCAUUCAUACUGUUUAUUGUUAGUACUUGCAAUAACAUUAUUGAUUGUUUCUGCUUCUGAAUAUGGGGACA
Molecule: unclassified non-coding RNA, 275 nt
Filed under: Hevea brasiliensis (rubber tree)
Lineage: Eukaryota; Viridiplantae; Streptophyta; Magnoliopsida; Malpighiales; Euphorbiaceae
Source: RNAcentral